GUCCACGUUACCAUGGGAGCUGUGUUUCUGAAUGACAGCCUCCCUUCCUAGGCGUGGUACAGCAAGUUCUUGCUUUUACUCAAACAGUCUCUUGUGAUGUCGUCACUAGAGCCAGGAAUAAAAGAAGAAACAAUU
This 135-nucleotide small nucleolar RNA is filed under the name Monopterus albus (swamp eel). RNAcentral's name for it is "Small nucleolar RNA SNORA24 (ENSMALG00000021219.1)". Lineage: Eukaryota; Metazoa; Chordata; Actinopteri; Synbranchiformes; Synbranchidae. The record is from RNAcentral.